CCGGCGGCAAAUUCGGACAAAAUAAGUAUAUCACUUUUCCUUAUUAUUGAGCGGUUUCCCGUUAUUCCGCUCUUAUCAUUUCUUUUCAACAUGAUCCGGCUUGUCAGUGAAUUGAGAGAACCAAGAUGAACAGAGAAAGCAAGCUUAUGAGGCAGUUACAAGAAUGGACAACACAAGAAAUGCACUUCAACCUACAAUCCUCCAUUUCAGCGGCGUUAUAUCCUGAGAAGUAUAAAGUGUUAUGUAAAGGGCCAGGAGCUGCAAUUUGCUAUGGAUGAUGCAGCAUGUUAAGUCCACAGAGUUACAAAGUAAACUAUGAUGUGGGUGGGAACAGUUUGAAGACACCAAUAAGCCUUUCUGGAGCAAAGAGCUGCUCUCACAGGGGAGAUAACUACAACAUUGAGAGAUGUAGGCAAUUUUGAACAUGAGGUAGAGAGAAUCACAGCAGAGGUGACCCAGACAGGCACAUCAUUUCUGAUGGAUCGAAUUCCAAAUCUGAACCAGCUCCUUGAAAGUGAAAUCAUUGAUAGGUGUAGGUUUGACCGGAACGGGAUCAACUUCUUGGAAUAACUUUUACGUGCCUAUAUCCAACCCAAAGCACCACGGAACAAAGCUUUGAGUGUUGAGCAAAAUAUUUUGAUAACAUUAAGGUACCUUGCAACUGGACCAAUACAGUUGAAUGAUGGUGACAUUCACGGUGUAAGUCAGCCCACUGUUUCACCCAUCUUAACAGAAGUUAUUGAGGUAUUGUUUUUCCCUACAUUAGUGAGGCGCUUUAUUAAAUUCCCGCAGGGAAAAGAAGAGUGUGAAAGAAAUACUUUGCAAUUCCGUGGUAUUGCCAGGUUCCCGAAGGUGAUCGGUGCCAUAGAUAGCACUCAUAUACAUGUUGUGUCACCUCAUGAACAAGAAGACAUAUAUGUAAAUAGGAAAGGUGUCCACAGCAUUAAUGUUCAAGUCAUCUUAGAUGGAUCAUACAUCAUUAUAGAUGUUGUUGCCCGCUGGCCUGGGUCUGUCCAUGACAGUCGAGUUUUGCGAAAAAGCACCAUAAACCAACUUUUCGAAAAUGGCCAGAUUGCCCAUGGGUUUUAUCUGCUAGGAGAUAGUGGGUUUGCAACCAAAAGAUGGCUGUUGACCCCAUACCUAACGCCCCAGACCCCAUCACAACGAGCAUACAAUAGAAGCCAUAAAAUCACCAGAUCCUUGUUUGAGAGGGGAUAAGACAGCUAAAAAAUGAUUUGGAAUUUUGCAUAGAGAAAUUAAUCUGCAGCCAGUCAAAGUGUGCAGGUGUAAUUGUUUGUUGUGUUCUGCACAACAUUUGCAAGCAGCGAGCCAUUCCCAUGGCAGCCGUAGCAGACAACAAUGAUGGAAGAAAUGGUGAUGAUGGCAGGCCACAGCCCCAAGCUAACAAUCUUGUUGGACUUAGAUACAGAGACCACUUUGUUUCAUCCUACUUUGCUGCCUGACUGCUUUACAUUCCAGACAGCAACAUUGAUUACAUGAUUUCGAGGUUAUGAAAGCUUUAGAUUUCGUGCUAGCCUCAGGUCUGGAAAGGUGAAACGUGACAGGAACCUCCUCUGCCUCCAACACUGGCUGACAUGUAUUACAAACUUUAAUGCUAAAAUGUGCUCUCAUGUUAUUGUUAAAUUUUGCAAAAAAUCACUAUGUUGUUCAGAAUGUAUGAGUCAUUAUUACAUAUUUUCCAAACUUAAUUAUACACGAGAAUGUCAGUGAUAUAUUUUGGCAUUAUUUACACCGCCUGCUACCAAAUUGGGAUUUUCUCGACUUUGGGAAAUAUUUAUUCACAGAACAUCUUAUUAAUUAUUUUGGAAAAUAUCAUUUUAUGGGGAAAUUGAACACUUUUUCAAAAGGGGGAACAGCCCUAAGUGGGCAGUAAAUUGCACCAAAAAAUCACUGAA
Mya arenaria is the source of this 1916-nucleotide long non-coding RNA. RefSeq lists it as uncharacterized. The transcript has 8 exons. Lineage: Eukaryota; Metazoa; Mollusca; Bivalvia; Myida; Myidae. The record is from RefSeq and is a predicted model, not a curated record.